AGGCUGUUAUGUAGCCAAGGAUGACUUGCCGGCCGAUGCCUCCUCGAUAUACAAUCGUCGCACAUCCCUGGGCGGCCGGGAACGUCGCAUGCAUGCAAACUGUUGGGGCAUCGGCCGGCAGGUUCUUCUCUUUGGCUACACGAUGGCCUCG
Molecule: microRNA precursor, 151 nt
Filed under: Zea mays
Lineage: Eukaryota; Viridiplantae; Streptophyta; Magnoliopsida; Poales; Poaceae
Source: RNAcentral